GGCCCGGUAGUCUAGUUGGCCGAGGACGCCGCCCUCUCAAGGCGGAGAUCACGGGUUCGAAUCCCGUCCGGGCUACCA
This 78-nucleotide transfer RNA is filed under the name Actinomycetota bacterium. RNAcentral describes it as "tRNA-Glu". It matches the Rfam family "tRNA". From Rfam's summary of the family: Transfer RNA (tRNA) molecules are approximately 80 nucleotides in length. Their secondary structure includes four short double-helical elements and three loops (D, anti-codon, and T loops). Further hydrogen bonds mediate the characteristic L-shaped molecular structure. tRNAs have two regions of fundamental functional importance: the anti-codon, which is responsible for specific mRNA codon recognition, and the 3' end, to which the tRNAs corresponding amino acid is attached (by aminoacyl-tRNA synthetases). tRNAs cope with the degeneracy of the genetic code in two manners: having more than one tRNA (with a specific anti-codon) for a particular amino acid; and 'wobble' base-pairing, i.e. permitting non-standard base-pairing at the 3rd anti-codon position. Lineage: Bacteria; Bacillati; Actinomycetota. The record is from RNAcentral. RNAcentral also lists the same sequence under 1 other name.